Molecule: ribosomal RNA, 1809 nt
Filed under: Triticum aestivum (bread wheat)
Lineage: Eukaryota; Viridiplantae; Streptophyta; Magnoliopsida; Poales; Poaceae
Description: partial small subunit ribosomal RNA
Source: RNAcentral
AUGACGCGCCCCACGCCCACGCUCCUGCGACGCAUCGCCCCGGCGCCCGCAGCCACCCCCGCUGCCGCAGCCACCCCCGCCGCUGCUGCCCUGCCCCAGACCCGACCUCUGGGCAGCCCCCCGCCGUCCUCGCUCCACCCGCCUGGCUUCCCAUGGCCGCUCACUUCAGGGGGGACGGUCGCAAUCCCCUCCCCGCUGCAUCUGGUUGUCGCUCCCUCUGCAGAUCUGGAGUCGCCGCUGUGCAUCGAUGCGGAUUCGAGCUCCUCCUUUGUUGGUGAUUCCCUGCUGGAGGACCCUGCAGAGGCGGGUGCGGUGCGGCCGCGCUCGGUCGGCUUUGCAUUCAAUGCCAUGGUGCUGGAUUCCACCCCACCCCCUCCCAUUCAAGGCGUGCACCGACCUUGCCUCAAGACUGCUCCUACAGGCGCCUUCAAGACCCGCCGGCGUGCGGCGUGGACGUCCCGUCGCUCGAGCCCCGAGCCAGACGUGUCCCCUGGCGCAAGCUCCGAUGAUGGUUGGCAGCUCGUCAAAGCGCCAUUUUGGUGGCGUUCCCUCCCCAGCUACCAGCAUUCAAGACGGAGGAGAGCUGCUGCUUCUUAUUCCCCUCCAACAGGCAGAUCUUUCGUCCCCCACCGCUUCCGCACCUACCACCGCUGCCUCGACGUUGGCCACUGCAAGGCCGACUGCCGGAAUCCAUUCAAGUGUCGGGAGUGUCGGCAGUGUGGUCACCGCACCCGUGACUGCACUGUGUCGCCCGCCUCCUCGCCCCUGUCCUCAAGGUGUGAUUCGCCAACUCCAGCUGCGACUGCGUUCCAAGCCUCCACGUCGUGGUGCCUGCUCCGGUCGUUGCCAACAUCAGCUGCGCCCCACGUCUCCCCGACAGAGUGCCUGGAGCCCCUUGCUUCUGUGAUGCCGCGCGUUGGAGACCCUUCGCUACGCUCGGAGGAGGCCCAUGUGGUCAUCUCCUCCACGCCGGCAAUGGAGGCCAGCACCGUCUCCCUCUCCAACCUGGGCGUGCUGGUCUGGAUCGGUGGGAACCGCCCUCGCGUCAACGCUGCAGAAAUCAGGAACGCCCUCGCCAACAAGUUCGUCAUCGACCGCGAGUACAUCAAGGUGGUGCCGCACUACCCGGAGGACUUCUUCGCCCUCUUCACGCACCCGCAUCACUGCGACAUCGCAACCGCCUCGCCUGGUCGCUUCAGCCAUGGCGGCCUGGACAUCCAUGUCACCAAAUGGAGGCCAGAGGCCAACGCUGACCUUAUGGAGGCCUACUACCACGUCCAUCUUUGCAUCGAGAACCUGUCGCUCCAUGCUUGGUGCGACGAGGUGGCGACCCAGGUGCUCGGCCCCGACACUUUUCUGCACUACUUCGACGUCGCCACCGUCCAACGAGAGGACUCAUCCACCCUCAGUCUCUGGGCGUGGUCCGCCAACCCCUCCGCCAUCCCAAAGGUGCUGCGUCUCACGAUCACCGGCAACCAGCCAGCCGGCUACAGCAAUGGGCCGAGUGCUACUGUUAGUCAACGCGGCCUCAAGCGCCGCCUCCUGGUGCACCUCGACCUGGUGGAAGACUUCACGCCCGACAUCAACGGCAACAUCCCUCGACGCCCUCGCUCCUUGCACCCGUUCUCCAUCACCCUGGGGGUCAUUGAUGGCGAGUCCAGAACACGAGACAGGUCAGAGGUGGCGGUGCGCCGCCGUGAUGAGGAUCAAGACAGAGACCGCCAUGACGAUGACCGCGACUGCGACCGUCGAGGCCAUGAUGAGCGCCCCUCUUCCUGGAGGGACCGUUUCUUCAGGAGCAGGUCGUGA